This 403-nucleotide ribosomal RNA is filed under the name uncultured bacterium. RNAcentral describes it as "bacterial SSU rRNA". It matches the Rfam family "Bacterial small subunit ribosomal RNA", at positions 359 to 776 of the family's 1533-position model. The record is from RNAcentral.
GAAUUUUCCGCAAUGGGCGAAAGCCUGACGGAGCAACGCCGCGUGGGUGAUGAAGAUUUUCGGAUCGUAAAGCCCUUUCAGCAGGGACGAAGCGAGUGACGGUACCUGCAGAAGAAGCAUCGGCUAACUACGUGCCAGCAGCCGCGGUAAUACGUAGGAUGCAAGCGUUGUCCGGAAUUAUUGGGCGUAAAGCGAACGUAGGCGGUUACUUAAGUUUGGUCUUAAAGACCGGGGCUCAACUCCGGGAAUGGACUGAAUACUGGGUGACUAGAGGAUGUCAGAGGAAAGUGGAAUUCCAAGUGUAGCGGUGAAAUGCGUAGAUAUUUGGAGGAACACCAGUGGCGAAAGCGGCUUUCUGGGACAUUCCUGACGCUGAGGUUCGAAAGCUCGGGGAGCAAACAGG